Molecule: long non-coding RNA, 1083 nt
Filed under: Numida meleagris (helmeted guineafowl)
Lineage: Eukaryota; Metazoa; Chordata; Aves; Galliformes; Numididae
Description: lncRNA (ENSNMEG00000019085.1)
Source: RNAcentral
GCCAGUUUAACAGCUGGGCAAUAGUAUAGACCAUUGCCUUAUUCUAAAUCCCAACUCCAGAGAAGACGUGUACCGCUAUCACAUAAUGCCAUGACCAGUGUGCUGACCUUGCUGUCCAAGGAAAAACUUCAUCUCCUGGCCCCAUAUUCUAGAAGACUGAAGAUUUCAUUCCAUGAAAGGUUUUCUUGCAACCUACAUAGCACUGGCUGGGCAAGCAGAAGUUCUGAGUCGCACUGCGCCUCCCAUGCCAGUGAAGGCAAACUUCUGGCAAAGAACACCAAUGUUAUCACAGCCCCCUGCUCACUGGCUUCUCAUCGUCCUUCCUGCAUCCUGGCCCUGCAGGAAAGCAUGAUAUACCUGGGGUUGUUGGGGAAGGGAAGCUUCUUGGUAUGAAAUGCAGUGGUACGAAAUUAAUGGUGGAGGCUUCUCAUCAGCUGCCUCACACUGAUGGUUUCACGAUCCUCCUGCGCUCCACUAAGACGAUGUGAAUGUUGUGGGAUUUGGCAGUGCUUCCUAGCUUCUGGGUCCAAGUGCAGGUCCUGGACACAUCCCAGCUCUGCACUGGGAUAGGAUCUGGAUGUGUACUUGAGACCUUUUCCUCCUACCUGUCCAUACCAUAGUUUCCAUGGAACUAAAUGCAGAAAUGCUGGCCAAAAGACAGCUUCAGUACAGUACAUUUUGGCCUGUCUAGAUAAUCAGUGAACAGGAUCUUGGAAAACACUGCAGCUUAUAUCAGUUGUUUAGACACUACACAUACAGUGCAUGUUUUUUUUUUUUUCUUUUCAGCUUUAACUCAGGUGUUUAUAACAGAUUCCAUUCUUCUCAGCUGAUCCUGUUUGACAUUGCCUUUUCUCUCUCACAACACCUACAUGACAUAAUGAGAUUCUGUCAUUGCUUUUACUACAAAAGAGCAAAAUUCUAUCUUUUCCUUCCAUUUAGCCUAUUCAUCCCCUGGGCAUCUCCUGCUUUGUCUGUGAAUUUUCCUUCUUUGAGGCUUCCUGAAGAACCAUCUGCUAAAAUUAUUUUUUGUACUUCCAUGUAACCUGGUUGGUCUAAAUUUUGAAUAAACCUACCAGCAAUUUC